This 675-nucleotide ribosomal RNA is filed under the name Escherichia coli. Its description in RNAcentral is "partial 23S ribosomal RNA". It matches the Rfam family "Bacterial large subunit ribosomal RNA", at positions 517 to 1191 of the family's 2925-position model. Lineage: Bacteria; Pseudomonadati; Pseudomonadota; Gammaproteobacteria; Enterobacterales; Enterobacteriaceae. The record is from RNAcentral.
AAAAGAACCCCGGCGAGGGGAGUGAAAAAGAACCUGAAACCGUGUACGUACAAGCAGUGGGAGCACAGAGCAAUCUGUGUGACUGCGUACCUUUUGUAUAAUGGGUCAGCGACUUAUAUUCUGUAGCAAGGUUAACCGAAUAGGGGAGCCGAAGGGAAACCGAGUCUUAACUGGGCGUUAAGUUGCAGGGUAUAGACCCGAAACCCGGUGAUCUAGCCAUGGGCAGGUUGAAGGUUGGGUAACACUAACUGGAGGACCGAACCGACUAAUGUUGAAAAAUUAGCGGAUGACUUGUGGCUGGGGGUGAAAGGCCAAUCAAACCGGGAGAUAGCUGGUUCUCCCCGAAAGCUAUUUAGGUAGCGCCUCGUGAAUUCAUCUCCGGGGGUAGAGCACUGUUUCGGCAAGGGGGUCAUCCCGACUUACCAACCCGAUGCAAACUGCGAAUACCGGAGAAUGUUAUCACGGGAGACACACGGCGGGUGCUAACGUCCGUCGUGAAGAGGGAAACAACCCAGACCGCCAGCUAAGGUCCCAAAGUCAUGGUUAAGUGGGAAACGAUGUGGGAAGGCCCAGACAGCCAGGAUGUUGGCUUAGAAGCAGCCAUCAUUUAAAGAAAGCGUAAUAGCUCACUGGUCGAGUCGGCCUGCGCGGAAGAUGUAACGGGGCUAAACCAUG